Molecule: ribosomal RNA, 484 nt
Filed under: uncultured bacterium
Lineage: Bacteria
Description: partial 16S ribosomal RNA
Rfam family: Bacterial small subunit ribosomal RNA
Source: RNAcentral
AUUGAACGCUGGCGGCAGGCCUAACACAUGCCAGUCGAGCGGAUGAAGGGAGCUUGCUCCUGGAUUCAGCGGCGGACGGGUGAGUAAUGCCUAGGAAUCUGCCUGGUAGUGGGGGAUAACGUCCGGAAACGGGCGCUAAUACUGCAUACGUCCUGAUGGAGCAAGAGGGGGAUCUUCGGACCUCACGCUAGCAGAUGAGCCUAGGUGGGACUAGCUAGUUGGUGGGGUAAGGGCCUACCAAGGCGACCAUCCGCAACUGGUCUGAUAGGAUGAUCAGUCACACGGGAGGUUGGACACGGUCCAGGCUCCUGCGGGAGGGAGCAGUGGGGAAUGUGGGACAAUGGGGGAGAGCCUGAUCCAGCCAGGCCGCGUGUGUGAAGGAGGUGUUCGGAGUGUAAAGCACUCUAUGGGGGGGGGAAGGGCAGUAAGUUAAGACCUUGCUGUUUUGACGGUACCGGCAGAAGAAGCACCGGCUAACUUCGUG